UAUGGAGGUGCGUGAGUGAUAGAGAAAAGUGGUGUUGGUUAGAAAGUAUCAAAGAGUUGUGUCCAAGAGAGUUUAAGGGUAGAGUGUUAGUCUCAGAGAUUGUUUCUUGAGUCUCUCUCUCUGCAUGUCCGAAUCGGAAUCCCCAAACUUCAACUCGUCUCUCUCUGCCAACUAACCCUCUCUUCCCUUUGUCCUAACUUUUAAAGGGCCAGACUCUCUGUACGUCAUUAGUUGAUAAGCCAAUAGGAAAUCGUAGAUGGAUUCAAUCGAUGGAUCGCAAUUUAGGUAUUUGAUCCAUAGAGGGCAGUCUCGUUUUACUAAUCCUUCUUAUCCAGGAAAGAGUUAACUUUUCCUGAUGACGAUUUUGACGUCAUUUGGCUUAUCUAAAAUGACUACCAUAACUUAGAUUUGCUGUCAGCUCAAAGCGUUUGUCUCAGUCUUUUACUACUUUGAUCGUAAUUUGUAAAAUUGACAGUUCUAAACUCAAUUUCACCCCUUACUUACAAUGGAA
Molecule: non-coding RNA, 511 nt
Organism: Pelobates cultripes (western spadefoot toad)
Lineage: Eukaryota; Metazoa; Chordata; Amphibia; Anura; Pelobatidae
Source: the annotation of a GenBank genome assembly